This 474-nucleotide ribosomal RNA is filed under the name uncultured bacterium. RNAcentral's name for it is "bacterial SSU rRNA". It matches the Rfam family "Bacterial small subunit ribosomal RNA", at positions 17 to 518 of the family's 1533-position model. The record is from RNAcentral.
ACUGGCGUCAGGAUGAACGCUGGCGGCGUGCCUAACACAUGCAAGUCGAGCGAUUACUUCGGUAAAGAGCGGCGGACGGGUGAGUAACGCGUGGGUAACCUGCCUCAUACACAUGGAUAACAUACCGAAAGGUAUGCUAAUACAGGAUAAUAUAAGAGAUUCACAUGAAUUUCUUAUCAAAGCUCCGGCGGUAUGAGAUGGACCCGCGUCUGAUUAGCUAGUUGGUAAGGUAAUGGCUUACCAAGGCGACGAUCAGUAGCCGACCUGAGAGGGUGAUCGGCCACAUUGGAACUGAGACACGGUCCAAACUCCUACGGGAGGCAGCAGUGGGGAAUAUUGCACAAUGGGCGAAAGCCUGAUGCCAGCAACGCCGCGUGAGUGAUGAAGGCCUUCGGGUCGUAAAACUCUGUCCUCAAGGAAGAUAAUGACGGUACUUGAGGAGGAAGCCCCGGCUAACUACGUGCCAGCAGCCGC